This 253-nucleotide ribosomal RNA is filed under the name uncultured bacterium. RNAcentral describes it as "partial 16S ribosomal RNA". It matches the Rfam family "Bacterial small subunit ribosomal RNA", at positions 524 to 776 of the family's 1533-position model. The record is from RNAcentral.
UACGUAGGGGGCAAGCGUUGUCCGGAUUUAUUGGGCGUAAAGAGCGUGUAGGCGGUUUGGUAGGUCCGUUGUGAAAACUCGAGGCUCAACCUCGAGACGCCGGCGGAAACCAUCAGGCUAGAGUCCGGAAGGGGAGAGUGGAAUUCCUGGUGUAGCGGUGAAAUGCGCAGAUAUCAGGAGGAACACCAAUGGCGAAGGCAGCUCGCUGGGACGGUACUGACGCUGAGACGCGAAAGCGUGGGGAGCAAACAGG